UACGUAGGGUGCGAGCGUUAAUCGGAAUUACUGGGCGUAAAGAGUGCGUAGGCGGAAAUGUAAGUUAGAUGUGAAAUCCCCGAGCUUAACUUGGGAACGGCAUUUAAGACUGCAUAUCUAGAGUUUGUCAGAGGGGGGUAGAAUUCCAAGUGUAGCAGUGAAAUGCGUAGAGAUUUGGAGGAAUACCGAUGGCGAAGGCAGCCCCCUGGGAUAGAACUGACGCUGAGGUACGAAAGCGUGGGUAGCAAACAGG
This 253-nucleotide ribosomal RNA is filed under the name uncultured bacterium. RNAcentral describes it as "partial 16S ribosomal RNA". It matches the Rfam family "Bacterial small subunit ribosomal RNA", at positions 524 to 776 of the family's 1533-position model. The record is from RNAcentral.